Molecule: ribosomal RNA, 253 nt
Filed under: uncultured bacterium
Lineage: Bacteria
Description: partial 16S ribosomal RNA
Rfam family: Bacterial small subunit ribosomal RNA
Source: RNAcentral
UACGUAGGGACCAAGCGUUGUUCAGAUUUACUGGGCGUAAAGGGCGCGUAGGCGGCGCGGUAAGUCACUUGUGAAAUCUCUGAGCUUAACUCAGAACGGCCAAGUGAUACUGCAGUGCUAGAGUGUGGAAGGGGCAAUCGGAAUUCUUGGUGUAGCGGUGAAAUGCGUAGAUAUCAAGAGGAACACCGAUGGCGAAGGCAGGUCUCUGGGCCACUACUGACGCUGAGAAGCGAAAGCAUGGGGAGCGAACAGG